Molecule: ribosomal RNA, 253 nt
Filed under: uncultured bacterium
Lineage: Bacteria
Description: partial 16S ribosomal RNA
Rfam family: Archaeal small subunit ribosomal RNA
Source: RNAcentral
UACCAGCACCCCGAGUGGUCGGGACGUUUAUUGGGCCUAAAGCAUCCGUAGCCGGUUCUACAAGUCUUCCGUUAAACCCAACUGUUUAACAGGUGGGCUGCGGAAGAUACUAUAGAGCUAGGAGGCGGGAGAGGCAAGCGGUACUCGAUGGGUAGGGGUAAAAUCCGUUGAUCCAUUGAAGACCACCAGUGGCGAAGGCGGCUUGCCAGAACGCGCUCGACGGUGAGGGAUGAAAGCUGGGGGAGCAAACCGG